UAAGGACAAGGAAUGAGAAUACCCAGG
RNAcentral lists this non-coding RNA (27 nucleotides) under Mus musculus (house mouse). The record is from RNAcentral. Lineage: Eukaryota; Metazoa; Chordata; Mammalia; Rodentia; Muridae.